UUCUUAUCAAGAGAGGCGGAGGGACUGGCCCUUUGAAGCCCGGCAACCUCAGUUACAAAAAACUGAACAGGUGCUAAAUCCUGCAAAAUGCAAAGCAUUUUGGAAGAUAAAAU
This 113-nucleotide non-coding RNA is filed under the name Bacillus cereus. RNAcentral describes it as "SAM-I sequence". It matches the Rfam family "SAM riboswitch aptamer (S box leader)". From Rfam's summary of the family: The SAM riboswitch is found upstream of a number of genes which code for proteins involved in methionine or cysteine biosynthesis in Gram-positive bacteria. The SAM riboswitch acts at the level of transcription termination control. Lineage: Bacteria; Bacillati; Bacillota; Bacilli; Caryophanales; Bacillaceae. The record is from RNAcentral.